UAACUGGAGAGUUUGAUUCUGGCUCAGAACGAACGCUGGCGGCGUGCUUAACACAUGCAAGUCGAACGGGAAAAUCCCCGCAAGGGGAUGAGUACAGUGGCGCACGGGUGCGUAACACGUAGGUAACCUACCUGUUGUUGGGGAACAACCUGUCGAAAGACGGGCUAAUUCCGCGUAAGUUGGCAUCAUGAAAAUGAUGUCAAGAAAGAUGGCCUCUGCUUGCAAGCUAUCGACGACAGAUGGGCCUGCGCCCGAUUAGCUAGUUGGUAGGGUAACGGCCUACCAAGGCUUCGAUCGGUAGUUGGUCUGAGAGGACGACCAGCCACACUGGCACUGAAAUACGGGCCAGACUCCUACGGGAGGCAGCAGUGGGGAAUAUUGGACAAUGGGCGAAAGCCUGAUCCAGCAACGCCGCGUGAGCGAUGAAGGCCUUCGGGUCGUAAAGCUCUGUCAGAGGGGACGAAAACUCAGUGGAAAUAAUACUCCAUUGAAUUGACGGUACCCUCAGAGGAAGCACCGGCUAACUCUGUGCCAGCAGCCGCGGUAAUACAGAGGGUGCGAGCGUUGUUCGGAGUUACUGGGCGUAAAGCGCAUGUAGGCGGAUAGAGAAGUCGGGUGUGAAAUCCCUGGGCUUAACCCAGGAACUGCGCCCGAAACCAUCUAUCUAGAGUUCAGUAGGGGAGCGGGGAAUUCCCGGUGUAGAGGUGAAAUUCGUAGAUAUCGGGAGGAACACCAGUGGCGAAGGCGCCGCUCUGGGCUGUAACUGACGCUGAGGUGCGAAAGCUUGGGGAGCAAACAGGAUUAGAUACCCUGGUAGUCCAAGCUGUAAACGAUGGGUACUAGGUGUCGGAGGAAUUGACCCCUUCGGUGCCGUAAGCUAACGCAUUAAGUACCCCGCCUGGGAAGUACGGCCGCAAGGUUGAAACUCAAAGGAAUUGACGGGGGCCCGCACAAGCGGUGGAGCAU
RNAcentral lists this ribosomal RNA (966 nucleotides) under Deltaproteobacteria bacterium RIFCSPLOWO2_02_FULL_44_34. RNAcentral's name for it is "bacterial SSU rRNA". It matches the Rfam family "Bacterial small subunit ribosomal RNA", at positions 1 to 940 of the family's 1533-position model. Lineage: Bacteria; Deltaproteobacteria. The record is from RNAcentral.